AUGAUCGGUGCUUGCACUGAGAUUCAACAUUAAAACGAGUGGCGGACGGGUGAGUAACACGUGGGUAACCUGCCCUUAAGUGGGGGAUAACAUUUGGAAACAGAUGCUAAUACCGCAUAAAUCCAAGAACCGCAUGGUUCUUGGCUGAAAGAUGGCGUAAGCUAUCGCUUUUGGAUGGACCCGCGGCGUAUUAGCUAGUUGGUGAGGUAACGGCUCACCAAGGCGAUGAUACGUAGCCGAACUGAGAGGUUGAUCGGCCACAUUGGGACUGAGACACGGCCCAAACUCCUACGGGAGGCAGCAGUAGGGAAUCUUCCACAAUGGACGCAAGUCUGAUGGAGCAACGCCGCGUGAGUGAAGAAGGCUUUCGGGUCGUAAAACUCUGUUGUUGGAGAAGAAUGGUCGGCAGAGUAACUGUUGUCGGCGUGACGGUAUCCAACCAGAAAGCCACGGCUAACUACGUGCCAGCAGCCGCGGUAAUACGUAGGUGGCAAGCGUUAUCCGGAUUUAUUGGGCGUAAAGCGAGCGCAGGCGGUUUUUUAAGUCUGAUGUGAAAGCCCUCGGCUUAACCGAGGAAGCGCAUCGGAAACUGGGAAACUUGAGUGCAGAAGAGGACAGUGGAACUCCAUGUGUAGCGGUGAAAUGCGUAGAUAUAUGGAAGAACACCAGUGGCGAAGGCGGCUGUCUGGUCUGUAACUGACGCUGAGGCUCGAAAGCAUGGGUAGCGAACAGGAUUAGAUACCCUGGUAGUCCAUGCCGUAAACGAUGAAUGCUAGGUGUUGGAGGGUUUCCGCCCUUCAGUGCCGCAGCUAACGCAUUAAGCAUUCCGCCUGGGGAGUACGACCGCAAGGUUGAAACUCAAAGGAAUUGACGGGGGCCCGCACAAGCGGUGGAGCAUGUGGUUUAAUUCGAAGCAACGCGAAGAACCUUACCAGGUCUUGACAUCUUUUGAUCACCUGAGAGAUCAGGUUUCCCCUUCGGGGGCAAAAUGACAGGUGGUGCAUGGUUGUCGUCAGCUCGUGUCGUGAGAU
This 1031-nucleotide ribosomal RNA is filed under the name Lacticaseibacillus casei. Its description in RNAcentral is "bacterial SSU rRNA". It matches the Rfam family "Bacterial small subunit ribosomal RNA", at positions 69 to 1073 of the family's 1533-position model. Lineage: Bacteria; Bacillati; Bacillota; Bacilli; Lactobacillales; Lactobacillaceae. The record is from RNAcentral.